UGUUGGUGAGUGUGUGUAUGUAUGCAUGUGUAUGUGUGUUUAUCCACCAAUACCUAUUUUUAAUGGUGUUGACUUGUUGCAGCCGUCGUAACUUAGCGGUUUGACAAAUAGAUACCGAUAGAAUAAGUGUCAGAUUUUAAAAUUUAUUAGUACUGCUGCUUAUUCGUUCAACUGAAAGCCUUCGCAUGCGAUGCUCCAGCACGGCCGCAGUCAGAUGAAUGAAACAGACACAAGAACGAUAAAACAUAAAAGGUCAUUACAAUAAAAAAAAAAAUUUUUUAAUAAUUAAAUAAUUAAUUAAACAAAUAAUAGGUUUUUUUUCACUUUUUGCCUCCAGUGGCCACCAGGUGGCUGCAACAAGCUGAGAAAGAGAGAGAGAGUUACGUCCCUUCGUUGGCCAUUUUUUCCCCUUUAAAUAAAUUCUUCAUCAAAGUCUUAAAAAUAUUUCCCAUUUCCCAUUAAAAUACAAAUCCAUUCUUCCAUCGAAAUAAUGCAUCUGUCCGUGCCGGAUAUUCUUGAUGUCUGGCCACAGCUUGACUCGCCUCUCGCCGCAGCCGAUCGCUCACAGCAAUCCGUAGGUGUUGCUGGAAUGAGACUGGUCAGUUAGGGAGCUCUGUGAGUAACAGUUAUACAUACAUCUACAUAUAUACGUAUAUAUAUAUACAUAUAUAUAUAUAUAUGUAAUCACACACACAUAUAAGCAUAUAGAUAUGUGUGUAUAAUUUUCAACUGCUGUCCUUUUUCUUUCUCUCUCUUCCCGUGUACUAUGUCUUGUGUAUACUUUUGGCUGAGGUUAAAGUAGAGAAAGAGAAAGAAGCAGUCAAACUCGAGAAAGAAGUCCGUUGGGAGUUUUGUUUUGAUAGACAAGAUGUCAAGUGAUAACGAUGAUGAUGAGAAAACCCUUACCGUCGUACUGUCGGAUGAUAAUACUUUGGAGAAAAGUCCAGAGAGAAAAGAAGAGGCCUCUGCAAAUGAUGAGGAUGUCACUGAUAGCAAUCCACCAGCGUCACCUCCGCCCCCAGCCCUCAGGCCAAGGGCCGCUAAGAAAUCUGCUAAAAUGUUGAACAAAUUGUUGAGUUCCAGUCAGGAACCAAGGAGGCGACCUGUCCGAAGCACAAGGCCCAAACGCAAGCUGCUAACUGAGUUCCGACCCUAUAAAUGUGAAUACUGUGGGAAAUACUUCCCCAAGGCCAAGCAAUUGUCCAUACAUGUUCGCACUCACACGGGCGAGAAACCCUACAAAUGCGAGCAGUGUGAUCGUGCGUUCACCCAGUCGCAUCACCUUGUCACCCAUCUACGAACCCAUACCAAAGACCGCCCUUACCCCUGCGUCUGCUGUCCUCGGGCAUUCACCACAUCCAGUAGCCUCACUCGUCACGUACGCACUGCUCAUUUACACGAACGUCCCUUCAAAUGUACAUUCUGUGACAGGGCCUUCGCAUUCCAGGAUCGCUUGGACUCCCACAUUCGUACCCAUACCGGUGUAAGGCCCUUUCAGUGCCCCCUAUGUCCACGUGCGUUUGCUGUCUCCUAUCGACUAACUGCUCACAUUUUCAUCCACCGUCACGGCAAACCCCACAAAUGCUCAUACUGUCCGAAAGCGUUUGCCGUUGCUUCUCAUCUGACAAAACACAUUCGUGUGCACACUGGGGAACGGCCCUUCAAAUGUGUGCACUGCGAGAAGUCGUUUACCCAGCCGUAUCACCUGACCAUACACCUGAGGAACCAUUCCGGGGAAAGACCUUAUAAAUGCACUUACUGCACGGAAGCGUUUAAACGAUCUGGUGACCUGCGUGCCCAUAUCCGAAUCCACACGGGUGAGAGGCCCUUCCAGUGCAAAGUUUGUGGGAAACAGUUCACACAGUCGAGUAACUUGUCGAAGCACCAGAAAAUACACACCAAUGACCGUCCUUUCCGGUGCUCUCACUGUGAUCGUGGUUUCAUCCGAGCCAGUAGUGUCAUUGCCCACGAACGGACACACACUGGCGAAAAGCCAUACAACUGUGGCCUGUGUCCCAAAGCUUUCAUGUCGAUGGGGAGCCUGACAAAACACGUCAAACUGAAUCAUGGCGAAGAAGACGGAGUCGAUUCCAACGAGGCUUUUGCUAAAUCUUACAAGUGCGAGUUCUGUCCUGAAGCAUUCCGAAGGCGCUGGGAAUUGAAGGACCACUUUCAAGAGACCCACUCAAAAGACAGACCCUAUAAAUGUGACCAGUGUGACAAAGCUUUCACUCAAAGUACCCACUUAACCUCCCACAAACGCACGCAUGUAUCAGAGUCCACUGUUACCACCAAAACAACUGUGGACUCUACAAAUGAGGCUGAAAAGAAAAUUGGUUCCGACGAAAACGAAAAUGCUGACAAUCAGAAGGGUGGCAGCCAAGAUGGUACUGGAUCUGAGACAAAAUCUUCAACUGCUGAUGUAAAACCUGAGAAACCUUUCAAAUGUGAAUACUGCACCUACACAUGUCGACGACGGCACGACUUGACCAAACACACCCGUAAACAUACAGGGGUUUCGCCCCAUCAGUGUGAGUUCUGUGCCAAGACCUUUACUCAGCGAGGAAACUUACUGUCGCACAGACGCAUACAUACGGGCGAGAAGCCAUACAAGUGCGACUACUGCGAAAGUCGGUUCCGCUCCAGCAGCCAUUAUAGUACACAUCUGAAACUACACACGGGGGACAUGCACAAAUGCCAACACUGUGGUAAGCAGUUCACAAAACUCGAUCAUUAUCAGAAGCAUCUGCGAAUUCACACGGGCGAGAAGCCCUUUCGCUGCGAAUACUGCGGGAAAGGGUUUUCUGCUUCCGAAUACUUGACUGUGCAUCUGCGCAUUCAUACAGGGGUUAAACCCUACAACUGCAGCCACUGCGGGGAAGCGUUCAGGCGUGUCGGUGACCUACGUGUCCACGAAAUGAUUCAUACUGGUUACAGGCCGUAUAAAUGUCAGUUUUGUGAUAAAGGGUUCCGGAAGUCUUACGGGUUGACUGCCCACCUGCGCAGUCAUACUGGCGAGCGCAACCACAAGUGCGAGCUCUGCGACAAGUCGUACGGGACGGCAUCGCAUCUCAAGAAGCAUCAGCUUAUUCACAACACCGAUCGUCCGUACAAGUGCAAGUACUGCAACAAGACUUUUGCCGAGUCCAGGAACCUUGCCAUCCACACUCGGAGUCACUCGGGGGACCGUCCGUUUGGCUGUUCAUUUUGCGACAAGUCGUUUACGCGGCUCGACAAGUUGACCAUUCACCAACGCACCCACACUGGCGACCGUCCUUACAUGUGCCGCUACUGUGACAAAUCUUUCACCGCGGCCUACGGCCUCAACAAACACAUGAAGACCCACUCGCACGAGAAGAAAUACGCCUGUCCAUGGUGCGGAGACGACUACCUGCAGUUUCCUGCCCUCAAUGCCCACAUGGCCACUCACACUGGCCUCGACAAGAACAAAUGCAAUCUGUGUGGCAUGCAAUUCUCCGACACCGACCAGCUAAACAAGCACCUGUGGGCCUGUUUCUUAACGCUAGGAAGUCCCAGUCAGCCUCCUCCAGAGAACACGCAAGCAGCUAGUUCCUCGGAAGAGGCGAACCUGUCCGAACCGUGCAACGAUCUAACGUCGCCACCACAGCCACUGCCGCCACCACCACCACCACCACCUUUACAACCCAGUAACAACACGAAAAACGAAGUGGCCCCCAGAUGGCCGCACCCGAGCACAAACUACUCUAUGAACCGUAUCAUUUCCAAGACUGUUCCCCCUGUGUCCCCUCCUGGGGCAAAUUCACGAAAUGCUGAUUCUCAAUGCACUUACGAAUAUGCUGGCAACAUGUUUUUGUUAUGAAGGUCCUCAUCGUGUCCAGCUUGGGCAGUAACAGGAGAGUAUUGGGCCUAAAUGCCUCUGCACCAGUUUCAGUUUCGUCGCUCCACACACUUUGCAUUCAGUAUUUCUCGCCGCCACCACCAUACUGGGGGCUAAGUUUGACUUUUAAACCCCUGCCCAUGACAGGCAGGGUGUUAUGUGGAACGAUAAAACUAACACCCUCAAAGUACCCCACAACCAGUUGACAAGGAUUAAACAAGAGACAAUGCAUUCUUCAACUGAUAAACCAAAGCAACCACCCUAAACACCUACCCACUUAACCACCUUCUUUCCAAACUCUAACCUACAAUCUAUGUUUUUUUGUUUUUUUUUUUUUGUUUUGUG
Molecule: unclassified non-coding RNA, 4204 nt
Filed under: Octopus sinensis (East Asian common octopus)
Lineage: Eukaryota; Metazoa; Mollusca; Cephalopoda; Octopoda; Octopodidae
Description: zinc finger protein 271-like, transcript variant X1
Source: RNAcentral